This 702-nucleotide long non-coding RNA is filed under the name Nicotiana tabacum (common tobacco). RNAcentral describes it as "long non-coding RNA (NTAB_LNC006032)". The record is from RNAcentral. Lineage: Eukaryota; Viridiplantae; Streptophyta; Magnoliopsida; Solanales; Solanaceae.
AGAGGAAGGCAUGCUUGAGCAAAUCAUAUACAAAGGUUUAGCAUUCAACUGGCUGCCGGCUGCUGUCAUGAUUUAUUGCUUCCUUGUAGAUCUGGGAUUCAAGUGGUUGGAUUAUUAGGAAAAUUCACACGAGGACCACUUUGCUGUUUGCACGUCGUUAAGGUGGUAAUUAAUAUCGAAUUUUGGUUUUUGGCGCUUUUAGAAAAAAUAGAAAGCUUGCAUUUGCUAAUGGAAGGAUUUUUGGUUUUGAGGGUACAUGAGACUGAAUUCUCAAGAGAAAGAGCUCAUGACAAUGUCGGGAGCCUGUAGAUUUAUAUAUAUGAGGCUAUAAUGCAAAUGCAAGGGUUUGGAUGUUUGGAUUGUCUUCCAACAACCUAACCGUAGGGAAGGUGAAUAAUCUCCGGAAGUAAAAUUUACCUCUUCUGACCAAACUAAUUUAUAUAUUUACUUUCUUUCCUGUUUCAUUUACGUUGUAAAUCUUCUUUGUUAUUAGUAUUCUCAGUUUUAGUGGGGAAGAUUUGAUGAUAGGCAUUUACAUAGCAGAGCAAAUUGUUUUUACAUCGACCUAGCCAGUUCUUACUGACGUUGCUAUGAUGUUGCUCUGAAUUUCGGACAUGGUGAAGUUUUGUGCUUCUGUAUUUAGAACUAUAUCUAUCAAUCAUUCAAGUUUUGAAUGAAAUAUUCUGGAAAUAAUGAUGGAAA